RNAcentral lists this ribosomal RNA (477 nucleotides) under uncultured bacterium. Its description in RNAcentral is "partial 16S ribosomal RNA". It matches the Rfam family "Bacterial small subunit ribosomal RNA", at positions 28 to 507 of the family's 1533-position model. The record is from RNAcentral.
GAUCAACGCUGGCGGCGUGCAUAACACAUGCAAGUCGAACGAUGAAGAUUAAAAGAUUUCUUCGGAAUGAACUUAAUUGGAUUAGUGGCGGACGGGUGAGUAACGCGUGAGUAACCUGCCUUGUACAAGGGGAUAGCCGUUGGAAACGACGAAUAAUGCCCUAUGACAUCAAAUAAUCGCAUGAUAAUUUGAUCAAAGAUUUAUCGGUAUAAGAUGGACUCGCGUCUGAUUAGCUAGUUGGUAGAGUAAAAGCCUACCAAGGCAACGAUCAGUAGCCGGAUUGAGAGAGUGUACGGCCACAUUGGGACUGAGACACGGCCCAGACUCCUACGGGAGGCAGCAGUGGGGAAUUUUGCACAAUGGGGGAAACCCUGAUGCAGCGACGCCGCGUGAUUUAGAAGGCCUUCGGGUUGUAAAAAUCUUUUGUAUGGGAAGAAAAUGACAGUACCAUACGAAUAAGGACCGGCUAAUUACGUG